Molecule: long non-coding RNA, 5558 nt
Filed under: Coffea arabica (coffee)
Lineage: Eukaryota; Viridiplantae; Streptophyta; Magnoliopsida; Gentianales; Rubiaceae
Description: long non-coding RNA (CARA_LNC004528)
Source: RNAcentral
UAAAGUCCUCUGCAUCAGUAAUGUUACUCAGCAAGAGAAUAGUACUCGGCUGAGUAAACACAGAACUUGGUUUUCUUGUUAUUGUUUCCAGACUGACCCGAUAUAUCACUUAGGAUGGCCAAUGUAGCCAAAGGCUCUUGUUUGUGCAGUUAAAAACGGCAUAUUAUGCUCUUCAUGCAUGAACGACAACAAUUUGUCUGGAUAAUAUUCCAUCAAUAGUUUCUGUUAGAAAUUAAACCUGCAGAUGCUUGUACUGUUUAUUUAUGGUAAUCUUUUCCAAGUUUGGCUUGUAUAGCUGAUGAUUGCUUGAGAGCAUGAGAAUAUUCAUUUAUUUGCCUCACCUUUCACUGAAGGUGGAAAUUGGUGGCAGAAUUUAAGCCUGCGAAUCAAGUAACAUUUAUUGGGGUUAAUCAUAUGUUGUUGAAUCUUGAAGGUGUGUGCAAAAAUAGGAAAAAUGUUGUUGAGGCUCUUGGCACGAGUCCUUUGCUCUAGCCAGCUGCGUAUGCUGAGAUGGGAAAAACCAUGAAGAUAGACCAAAAUAUUAUUAGGUGGGCGCAUCAUCGUGACCAACAUUGUUAUGAUUAAUAUUCUGGCAAUGUUACUGAGCAAUUCCUUAUGAUUGUGGUCGUCUAUAUAGGUACAUAGAUGACCAAUUCAAGAUGGGGUAUAUCGAGAAGCAUUCCUUCGUUUGAGUAGAAUCAGAAUUUUGGAUGCUAUUAGGAGUUGUGUAAACUGAACUAAAUGUCACAAAUCACAGUACUGUUCCUUUACUUGUGCCUAGUUAAGGUUUUGAUUAAACAAAAUUCGAAGUAAAAAAAAAGAACCAGUAAUAUAACUCACCACCGUUUCAGUAAUAAUCAAACUCUCAAUGGUUGAGACUCUAGAACGUAAAGGUUCUGAGUUCUAAUUUUCUUACUUUCUUCUCGUUUUUUAAACUUCAUCUCCCCUACUAGAAAAAAAUUUGCCUUAGUAUAAAACUUUUUUUAUUCAAUUUUCACAACUUGCUAGUAGCCUGUAUAAAUUUCCUCCUAUAAAGCAAAAUUUUUUUUUAUGAUUCCAAUUGAACAACUAAUGAACCCACCACCUGUCGAGUAGAUUUUGGUCUAGUGAUUAAAGUUGAGAUCUCAAUAAUGAAAGAUUUAGGGUUUAAAUCUUCUUUUCCCUUCUCCAUUUCUUAACUUCCAUCUCUCUCUUGCUAAAAAAAUAUAAAAAAGAAAAAACUAAUGAACUAAUGAAUCCACCACCUACCUAAAGAGGAAUUUGACCCUAUAAACUUCUAAAAUUUCAACUACUAUUUUCAUUUUCUACAUAUUCUAUUAUUCUUCCAACGCAAGGAAUUCUCCGUUUUCUUAUUUUGUAAAUCAUUUAUCUCUAGGCAUUCAUGUUGACAAUGCUUUUUUUUUUUUUUUAAUGUUGUUUGCUCUCAUGUUCAAUCUUCUGAAUCUAAUUUUAAGCGAAAAUCUUCCACUAGUUGGAUCAAUAUUAUUUCUUUACACUGGUUUAUUUCCUCACAAUUAAUACUAGAAUACAAGUGAUGCAAAACUUAUGAGGAGGGAGAGUGAUGGGAUAUUGGAAUUGGUUUGGGCACAAAGAAUUUAGCAAUUAGGGCUACACAAGCUAAUUCUGUAGAGUUGGAACCACGAGUAAAUGUGCUGGAACUCCUCCAACAAAAAAAAAAAAAAAAGUACUGGAACUGUUGAGUUUGUGUUAGCUGGAUGCGUGUGCAUGUGUGUGAGUUGGUGACAGAGGAUAAGAAAAAACAAAACGGUUCUUGUUUAGGGGCAUAACAUGAGCUGAAAUCUUAGCCAUUGAUUGGGUAGACUAUGGGUUGUGAUGCUUUUAAUUGAAAUGAUUGAUGGUGUUGAUUAGGCGAGUCUUGGCGUAUCGUGGUGCAAUAGGUAGGAGAUUAAGUGUUCGAAAAUUUUCAGGAAACUCACCACUCAUCACACAUUUUCAUUUUUCUUAAAAUUAAGGAUUAAAACUUGCUUCCAGGGAUAUAUAUGAAACAGUAAAAUGAUUAUAUCAUCGCUACAUGUCAUAGCUAGAAUAGAUAAUAAACCUAGCCAAAAAUAUGAGGUAACCAUAAUUGGAACCGCUAAUAUUAUAAGUUAUACAACACCUAGGCAUAAAAGUGGAAAAUAAUUACUCGCUAAACAACAUUGAUUGGAACUGAAAAACUAUUAAUCAAAUAACCAAAUAUGUUGUUUAGACCUGGACAUACGUGAAUUCAUGCCAUAAUUGACGUAAGAUUUAGUAAUAAGCAUCUCAGAUAGAAAGCAUGUUAUUUUGGUAGGUAGUUUUUUAGUGGCCCAAGUUUCCAUCUUCCUUCUCUGCUAACCACCUGUAGUUUUUCACUCGUUUCCUCUUCUCUAUUUCUGGUAUCUAUUUUGUGGAUUCUCCAGAUAGUGGGUAGUCUACCAUCCAGCAACUGACUUCCUAAUCUCCAUUUAAUCCUUUUUACUAAAAUUGUGUGCCUCUCGCUGAUAAUCAACGUGUAUGACUCUUCAACUUUUUUCUUGGAACUUAGAUCAGCUUUUUGUCGCUUAUAUGGUAUUGGUCAGCAUUUUGGCCUACAAUUCACCCUGCUAUUUAAUCGUUCUCCAACCCAGUUUAGCUAGCAAAGUUUUGUUGAGCAUCAUCUCUGAUGAUCUUGCAAGAUAAACAUAUAGGAAAUUAUGUUAUGUUCUGUAUUUUGUGUUAAUGGGACAAUUCAUACAAGAUUAUUUGUAUUAUGAAAUUAGAACUGAUUGGUUUUCAUUAGUUAACUUUCUAUUGUCGUUACAACUAGAAUGCAAUUAUGGUAUAGGAAAGGAAGUCAAUCAAAAUUUCUACAUGGUUCUUGAUAAUUUCUUUGAUUUUAAAUAAUUUGUUCGAUGGAAUUGAAUAAACUUUUCAACUAGAAAGAUGUUUAUUAAAUUCUCCUCAAAUUUUAGUUUGAUUAUGUUUGUUAACCCAUCUCUAUUCUCAUGCACUUUUGGAUAUAACUAAAUGAAAGCUUAUAAUGAGGGAAAAUGCUAGUUAUUAUCCCUAAACUUUGGUCCAUAGAUACACUUCAUCCUCAAAUUUUUUGGCAUAACACAUUUAGUAUUUGAACUAUCAAUUUUUGACCAAUUUAUUCCUCAAACGGAAAAUUAAUCAAUUUGAAUGGAAAUUGGAAUUGGAAAAAAAGGUAUUGGAGUUGGGAGAGUGAAAAUAGCCAUUCUAUUUUGCUAAUUUGAAGUCGUGCAAGACUUUUCACACAAUAGACUCAUGCUUACGAGGUGCCCAAUUCCGGUUCAAAUUAAUUAGUUUCCUAUUUGAGAAUGAAAUUGGACAAAAAUUGAUAGUUCAAAUACAAAAUGUGUUAUGUUAGAAAUUUUGGUGACGAAAUGUAUUCAUGACCCAAAGUUUAGGAAUGAAAACUGGCAUUUUUCCCUUAUAAUGAAUUUGUUUUCUAAUUACAAGAUGUUGUCUCCGUGUGCCUUGUGCUGGAUGUCUAAACGGGCCACGCUGUUCCUAUCUGGUUGCAUCCUCAUCACUGGUUCACUUUCCUCUCACCUCUUUGUUGGAUUUGGAGGAUCUGCGCUUCUAUGAUCCUGUUUUGGUUUGUUCUUCCUCUUGAAGAACUACAGAUAUUGGUAUAUCUCUUACAUGGUACUUCCAAGUUCUCUUCUCUUUGGGUGUUCAAGCUACCUUGAUACCGUUCUGGAUAUUGGUGGCUACAACUAAUCAUGGUUUUGAGCGCUAGUGAAUAAGGAAAUUUAUGUCCGAGCAUAGAUGGACACUUGUGGAGAAGUGCUCAAGGAGUACUCACUUAUGUUGACAUUCCCCGGAUAUUAGUGGUUGCUGCCAUGAGCCAUUUGGUUGCGAGACAUUUGGAGCACUUGAUUCGGAUUGCAUUAGAUGGGGGAGCACAGAUGAGAGACAAUUAUGAUAUCUGUGCUUUAGUUUUUGGCGAGCCAUAGCUUAUCAACUAUGGAAGGAGACUGGAGCUUGCCUUUGUUAUGUUUACAAUGUUGAUGCUACUUGUGGCUACGGACAUGGCAUUGAUUGAUAGUAGUGUAUUGGAAGAAAGGGGCACUGCCAUCUAUUGAUGUGCCACCAAGAGUGUAGGGGCUAGUAGUUGGGGCAGUUGAGCAAAAGUAAGGGCCAUCAGUUGAGCUAUCUAGUUCAACUAAGGACUUAGACAUUUUAGUUUAGAGAAAAUGAUCAUUUUGAUCCGUUAUCUUUAGAGUUUUGAUCAAUUUAAUCUUUUAUCUAUUAUUGUGAUUAUUUUAGUCCCUCAUCUUUACUAUAAAAAGUCAAUCUAAAUCCUUUAACGAAAAAUUAAAAAAUUUUAAUAGAGCUAGUUCUGUGCACAUUUUGUGCACAAUAUGUGCACCAUUAAAAAUGACCCUUAGAACUAGUUCUAACUUCUAACCAAGACAGGCUGAAUAUAUAGGCUUUUAAAACUCUUGUGCAUCAGAAAUAGCACUCAGCAGAAGAAUAUAUAUAUAUAUUUUUUUUUACUUGGCUCAGUAAAAACAGAAUUCAUUUUCCUGUUAUUUUUCUGGAGUUACGCCAUCAUCACUUAGUUAUGUACUCUGUUCCUUCCACAACUAUUUUGAGGCCAUCAUCUUGUGGUACUUGUAAUUUCUUCUUAAUCUGCUUACCCUGGAUUGUGCUAUCUAAUGCAUGUUUUCAUUUUUGGAGAAACCUGUAUAGAAAUUGAAAAGACAUUCUUGUAUUAUGCAGAGCAAGGGAAGGAUUUGGACCAGUUUUUCCGGUCAACAGCAGGUAUGUUGUAUUGGCUCAUUCAUAUAACUUUGGUUCCAAUUCUUGUGAUAUUUGUUCCAUUUGGAUACUGAUAUUUUACUCAUUAAAGUUUUUACUGGAAGAACAGUAUGCAUUUUCUACGGUUUGCAUUUUGUUGCUGAAUUUCUGUUUUCCCUUAAUAUAUUGUCAGUAAUUGUUUUAGACUGGCUGCAUUUCCAUGUAGUUUAUAAACAUGAAAUCUAGUAUGUUAUAGGUUCUUGGCAUUUUUCUCCAAAUUUAAAUGCAUCACUUUCUCGAGUUUCAGUGGUGUACAUUGAAAGAACUAUAGAGCGUGAGGAACAAUAGUUAAUUUAUAUGUUGUUCUUUCUCGCAGGGAAGUUCCAAACAAACAUUGGUAAAGCUUGGGCUUCAGAAAUUGCAUCAAGAAGAAGGAACCAUUGACACAUUAAAUUUUUCUUGUAUACUGUCACAAUCUCCUAUUACUUUCAAAGAACUAAUUCUAACCAAGGCAGGCUGACGCAGGCUUUUAAAGUCCUCUGCAUCAGUAAUGUUACUCAGCAAGAGAAUAGUACUCGGCUGAGUAAACACAGAACUUGGUUUUCUUGUUAUUGUUUCCAGACUGACCCGAUAUAUCACUUAGGAUGGCCAAUGUAGCCAAAGGCUCUUGUUUGUGCAGUUAAAAACGGCAUAUUAUGCUCUUCAUGCAUGAACGACAACAAUUUGUCUGGAUAAUAUUCCAUCAAUAGUUUCUGUUAGAAAUUAAACCUGCAGAUGCUUGUACUGUUUAUUUAUGGUAAUCUUUUCCAAGUUUGGCUUGUAUAGCU